CAUGACUUUCAGGGUCGAGAGGUCAGCCAGGACAGCCUGUGACAAGAGAGGUGACAACAAGAGAAUGUGAUGUCAGCAGUAAUCAUGGUUUGGUACAAAAGCAGCAUCCAGGAAAGGUUGAGUCCUUCAUGAGCAAAGAUGAUCAGAGGAUCUCCAGUUUGUCAACAAAUGCGACUGAAAUGCAGGAAUGGAUGUUUAUUAAUAAACGAAAUGAAGUUGACCA
Trichomycterus rosablanca is the source of this 223-nucleotide long non-coding RNA. RefSeq lists it as uncharacterized. The record is from RefSeq and is a predicted model, not a curated record. NCBI's taxonomy places the organism in Eukaryota, Metazoa, Chordata, Actinopteri, Siluriformes, Trichomycteridae. The transcript has 3 exons.